UGAACUCACAUCCCUGGUUGGACCUGAAGCAUUUGGGGGCAGGAGCUCCCCUGCAGCUUUUUGCUUUUGGCGUUUGCUGCUAGUGGGAGGAUCAGUGCACAUCUACCUUAGGGUACCUGUAAAAUUACAACUGCGGAAAAUACCCAUAGUGGUGUUGCACUGUAUGGUAGCCACUAGUAACUUGCACCUGUUGAACACUUAACCGUUCCUACUGUACACUGAGAUGUGCUAUAACCUUAAAAUACACACCGGAUUUCAAAGACAUAGUACAGAAAAAGAGGCUGGGCACAGUGGCUCAUGCCUGAAAUCACAGUACUUUGGGAGGCUGAGGUGGGAAGAUCGCUUGAGCUCAAGAGUUUGAGACAAACCUGGGCAACAUAGCGAGACCUUGCCUCUACAAAAAAAUACAAAAAUUAGCCUGGCAUGGUGGCACACGCCUAUAGGCCUACCUAUUUGGGAGGUUGAGGCAGAAGGACUGCUUGAGCCUGGGAGGUUGAGGCCACAGAGAGCUGUGAUCACACCACACUCCAGCCUGGGCAACAGAGCAAGACACUGUCUCAAAAAAAACAAAGAGUACCACUAUCACAUGAAUACAUUUUUUAUUGAUGACAUGUUAAAAUAUUUUGGAUAUAUUGGGUUACACAGAAUAUAUCGUUACAAUUAAUUUUUCCUGUCUCUUUUCUUUUCUUUUUUCUUUUUUUCUUUUUAAACGGCGUCUUGCUUUGUCACCCAGACUGGAGUGCAAUGCACUGCAACCUCCGCCUCCCAGGCUCAAGUGAUUCUACCAUCUCAGCCUCUGGAAUUAUGGGACUACAGGUGCACACCACCACGACUGGCUAAUUAUUGUGUUUUUGUUUGUUUGUUUGUACAGAUGAGAAAUCUCAUCUCUACAAUCAUGAGGUUUCCAUGUUGCCCAGGUUGGUCUCGAACUCCUGAGCUCUAGCAAUCUGUCUGCCUCGGCCUCCCAAAGUGCUGGGAUUACAGGCAUGAGCCACCGUGCCCAGCCCUUUCUAUUUCUUUUUACUUUUUGACAUGGCUACUAGAAACUUUUAAAUUACAGGGUCUUGCCCUGUGGUAGCUCACGCCUGUAAUCCCAAUACUUUGGGAGGCUGAGGCAGGUGGAUCCCUUGAGCUUAGGAAUUUUGAGACCAGCCUGGGCAACAUAGUGAAACCCCAUCUCUACCAAAAAUACGAAAAAUUAGCUUGGCAUAGUGGCACACACCUGUGGACCCAGCUACUUGGGAGGCUGAGGUGGGAGGAUUGCUGUAGCCUGGGAGGCGGAGGUUGCAGUGAGCCAAGAUUGUGCCACUGCACUUCAGCCUGGGCGACAGAGCGAGAGCCUGUCUCAAAAAAAAAAAUAUAUGGCUCGCGUUAUGUUUUUAUUGGACAGCACAGCUCUGUAGGAUUCCUUGUGACGCAUUCACCAUCUCGGUCAUGAGAAUCUUUAAAGCAGUAAAUGCUUUGCUUUUGUCCAUCUUGCUAUAAUCAAAACUGACUCAGGACCUGCAUUAAGGCUCUUUUUUUUUUAACCUCAUCUCUUAACUUUUUGAUGCAACUCAUCUUAGUGAAAUUGUGGUCUCCUCCUACAGCAACCCUCCCUCAAAAAAAGACCGAACACGCAAUUCUCAUCUAUCUAACUCUGUUAACAAUCAUAUGAGGAGGAAAUAAUCACAUGAUAAUGAGUGGCAUGAAACCCUGUGUCUCUAAAUUAAGCAACUCACUGUACUUGAUGAGUACAUCAGUCUUCCUGCCCCAAGCUUUUGUGUGUCAGACUGGAAUUAAAUGGAAGCUUACACUGCAGCUGAAUUCCUAGAAGCCCUGGACUUGUCAGGGGAAAAACCCAUGGGGGGAAAGCCCAUCUCUAGGCUGGGCAAUGAACUUGGAGACUGCUCGAUCACACACACUCAUAAGUAACAAAACCAUUAAUUUUGUUUCUUUUUUUUUGGUGGAGGGACAGAGUCUUACUCUUGCCCAGGCUGGAGUGCAGUGGCAUGAUCUCAGCCCACUGCAAUCUCCACCUCCUGGGUUCAAGUGAUUCUCCUGCCUCAGCCUCCUGAGUAUGUGGGACUACAGGCACCCACCACCACACCCAGCUAAUUUUUUGUAUUUUUAGUAGAGACGGGGUUUCACAAUGUUGGCCAGGCUGGUCUUGGACUCCUGACCUCAACAAAACCAGUGAAUUUCUGAAGUCUCAGCAUCUAGGACUUAGAAGAAGGAGAAACCUAGCAUUUCCUGAUUCUAUAAAUAACAACACUGAUAGUCUCUAGUAGAUGUUUAACAGCAGUUCGAAGGGGAGGGGUUCUGAUUUGUAGUACUGGCCAAUUUCCACGGUGUCAGUACUUGCUCUGUGACCAACGAUGACUCACAAACAUUGUUGUAAACAUUUGACCUACAUUAAUUCUUUUACCCUUACAAGAAUCCUGUGAAGUUCUACUAUCAUUCCCAGAUUAUAGAUGGGAAAAACUGAGGCACAAUGAGGUUAAGCGCCUUGGCCAAAGUUACGCCUUGUGAAUGGUGGAGCUGAGCCAUGAGCCAAGACCUCUGCCUCCAGUCUGUCCUAACCCCUAUAAGCUAAUGCCUAUAGAUGGUUGUUUUUUUUGUUGGUUUUUUUGGGGUUUUUUUGUUUUUUGUUUUUUUUUGAGACAGAGCCUUGCCCUGUCACCCAGGCUGGAGUGCGGUGGCAUCACAGUUCACUGCAGCCUCCGUCUCCCAGGCUCAAGUGAUCCUCCCACCUCAGCCUCCCAAGUAGCUGGGAUUUUUAUUGGACAGCACAGCUCUGUAGGAUUCCUUAUGACGUAUUCACUGUCUCAGUCACGAGAAUCUUUAAAGCAGUAAAUGCUUUGCUUUUGUCCAUCUUGCUAUAAUCAAAACUGACCAUGCCCAGCUAAUUUUUUAUUUUUUGUAGAGAUCCCUAUGUUGCCCAGGCUUGUCUCGAGCUCUUGGGCACAAAUGAUCUUCCCCCCUUGACCUCCCAAAGUUCUGGGAUUACAGGCGUGAGCCACUGUACCCAGCCCCUUUGGAUUUUUAAUUGUUCAAACUGGUAGUCAUAGUCCCACUUCAGAGGAGAGAACCAUAUAUGUGACCAGAAUUCUUGGGGGAAAAGUAAGAAACUACUCUUAAAAGUUCCUUAAAGGGUAGAAUUCUCUUUUUUAGAAAGAGUAGCCUAGGGGUGUCCAAUCUUUUGGCUUUCGUGGGCCACAUUGGAAGGAGAAUAAUUAUCUUGGGCCACACAUAAAAUAUGCUAACACUAACAAUAGCUGAUGAGCUAAAAAACAAAAGUUUUUUGAUCACACAAAAAAAAUCUCAUAACGUUUUAAGAAAGUUUACGAAUUUGUGUUGGGCCUCAUUCAAAGCCAUCCUGGGCCGCAUGCGGCCUGUGUGCUGUGGGUUAGACAAGCUUAGAGUAGAGCAUAGUGGGUGAGAGAAGAGGCUUCAGCUGCUUCUGGCUUGAGUUCAAAUCCUGACUCUGCCACUCACUAGCUGUGUGACCUUUGGCAAGUGACUUAACCUCUCUGUGUUUCCAUUUCCUCCUCUGUAAAAUGGAAAUAAUAAUAAUGAUACCUGUCUCAUAAAGUGGUCAGGAUUAAAUGAGUUCAUACAUAUAAAGAGCUUAGAUCAGUGCCUGGUGCCUAUAAACACUCCAGUGGUAACUGUUAUAAUUUGUAUUAUCUCUUGGUGAUUCCCAUAGGUCACAGGCAUUGAAAGUGCUCAAAGGGCCAGGCGCAGUGGCUCACACCUGUAAUCCCAGCAUUUUGGGAGGUCGAGGUGGGCGGAUCACCUGAGGUCAGGAGUUCGAGAUCAGCCUGGCCAACAUGGUGAAACCCCGUCUCUACUAAAAAUACAAAAUUAGCCAGGCGCGGUGGCGCAUGCCUGUAAUCCCAGCUACUUGGGAAGCUGAGGCAGGAGAAUUGCCUGAACCCGGGAGGCGGAGGUUGCAGUGAGCCAAGAUUGCGCCAUUGCACUCCAGCUUAGGCAACAAGAGCGAAACAUCGUCUCAAAAAAAAAAAAAAAGAGAAAGUGCUCAAAUGUAAUAAAGACAGUAUUCAUCGAGCGUUUUCUCUGUGCCAUCAGUGUGCUGAGUGCUUUACCUGCACCAUCUCAUUUAUUUCCCACAAACCCUCCUGUGGUUUAGGUGCUACUAUCCCCAUUUGGCAGAAGUGGAAAUAGAGUCCCCUAGAAGGUACGUAGCUUGUAAAAAGUCAUGUAAUUAGUCAACACCGUACUUCCAGCCACUGGCCAGCAGAAGCUUCCCCAUCAAUUCAAAUCCAUUGAAUCCUAAUGGCAAUUUAAGAGGCCUGUUUUAUUUUAUAGGUGGGUGUUUGUGUGGGAAAAGGGCUACCAGGAAACUGACUCCGUGGUCAGCUCCGUUACAACCAAGGUCAAGGGCGUGGCUGUGACCAACACUUCUAAACUUGGAUUCCGGAUCUGGGAUGUGGCGGAUUAUGUGAUACCAGCUCAGGAGGAAAACUCCCUCUUCGUCAUGACCAACGUGAUCCUCACCAUGAACCAGACCCAGGGCCUGUGCCCCGAGAUUCCAGAUGCGACCACUGUGUGUAAAUCAGAUGCCAGCUGUACUGCCGGCUCUGCCGGCACCCACAGCAACGGAGUCUCAACAGGCAGAUGCGUAGCUUUCAACGGGUCCGUCAAGACGUGUGAGGUGGCAGCCUGGUGCCCGGUGGAGGAUGACACACACGUGCCACA
RNAcentral lists this small RNA (4701 nucleotides) under Pan troglodytes (chimpanzee). RNAcentral's name for it is "retained intron". The record is from RNAcentral. Lineage: Eukaryota; Metazoa; Chordata; Mammalia; Primates; Hominidae.